Molecule: ribosomal RNA, 614 nt
Filed under: uncultured bacterium
Lineage: Bacteria
Description: bacterial SSU rRNA
Rfam family: Bacterial small subunit ribosomal RNA
Source: RNAcentral
GAGUAAAGCGGGGGAUCUUCGGACCUCGCGCCAUUGGAGCGGCCCGUGUCCGAUUAGUUUGACGGCGGGGUAACAGCCCACCGUGGCUACAAUCGGUAGCUGGUCUGAGAGGAUGAUCAGCCACACCGGGACUGAGACACGGCCCGGACUCCUACGGGAGGCAGCAGUGGGGAAUAUUGGACAAUGGGGGCAACCCUGAUCCAGCGAUGCCGCGUGUGUGAAGAAGGCCUUCGGGUUGUAAAGCACUUUCGCGGGGGAAGAAACUUCGCGCUCUAACAUAGCGCGGCACUGACGGUACCCCGAGAAGAAGCGCCGGCUAACUCCGUGCCAGCAGCCGCGGUAAUACGGAGGGCGCAAGCGUUAAUCGGAAUGACUGGGCGUAAAGCGUGCGCAGGCGGCCGCGGAAGUCGGAUGUGAAAGCCCCGGGCUCAACCCGGGAACUGCGUUCGAAACUCCGCGGCUCGAGUCCGGCAGAGGAAGGUGGAAUUCCGCGUGUAGCGGUGAAAUGCGUAGAGAUGCGGAAGAACACUAAUGGCGAAGGCAUCCUUCUGGGCCGGCACUGACGCUGAGGCACGAAAGCGUGGGUAGCAAACAGGAUUAGAUACCCUGGUAGU